CAAAGAACAAGCAAGGGCUUGAGCUGUACAACUGCGGUGCCUUUUGACUCGAUUUGUUUCGGUUCACGUCACAAGCUUUUGCUGUAAGAAUCAAUGAAAACGAAGAAGCCCACACGGCUGAUAAUUGAUGGUGCACACUCCGGUGCCUUUGGCAGAGCCCUUUUUCUGCCUGUCCCCUCUUGUAAGAGUGACCUCAGAGUUGCCUCUGCGCACAUGUAGGACACCGAAGUCCGGGUCUCCAGCACCCCCUGGAUGUGGCCUUAAACAGAAACAACCUUGCCAAAGGCGAGCAGAGUGGGGCUGAUAGGGGUCUCAUCCACCAGGGCAGCUCUUUGUGGAAAGGGGCUAGUGCACAGACCUGACACGGAAGAAGAUGUGCCCUGGCUGCCGUAAGAAAGCAGGCUGAGCAAGCCUGGGAGAGCAAGCCAGUGAGCAGCAUCCCUCCAUGGCCUCUGCAUCAGCUCCUGUACUGCACCAGCUUCCUGCCCUGAGUUGUGCUUCCUGAGCUCUCUGCCUCCUGCCUGUGAGACGUGAGCUCCUAGCUGCUGCUCCAGCCGUCUGCCUUGCUCCCCCAUCAUAGACUGUCAUCCUCUGACACUGUAAACCCAACUAAACUCGUUCUUUCAA
Arvicola amphibius (Eurasian water vole) is the source of this 627-nucleotide long non-coding RNA. RefSeq lists it as uncharacterized. NCBI's taxonomy places the organism in Eukaryota, Metazoa, Chordata, Mammalia, Rodentia, Cricetidae. The record is from RefSeq and is a predicted model, not a curated record. The transcript has 3 exons.